UUGACCUCGGAACAGGUAGGGAUACCCGCUGAACUUAAGCAUAUCAAUAAGCGGAGGAAAAGAAACCAACAGGGAUUGCCUCAGUAACGGCGAGUGAAGCGGCAAAAGCUCAAAUUUGAAAUCUGGCCCCUUCGGGGCCCGAGUUGUAAUUUGUAGAGGAUGCUUCGGGCGUGGCCGCGGUCUAAGUCCCCUGGAACGGGGCGUCGCAGAGGGUGAGAAUCCCGUCUUCGGCCGGCCGGCUUCGCCCAUGUGAAGCUCCUUCGACGAGUCGAGUUGUUUGGGAAUGCAGCUCUAAAUGGGUGGUAAAUUUCAUCUAAAGCUAAAUACUGGUCGGAGACCGAUAGCGCACAAGUAGAGUGAUCGAAAGAUGAAAAGCACUUUGAAAAGAGAGUUAAACAGCAUGUGAAAUUGUUGAAAGGGAAGCGCUUGCGACCAGAGUCGGCCGCGGGGGUUCAGCGGGCAUUCGUUGCCCGUGCACUCCCCCGUGGCCGGGCCAGCGUCGGUUUCGACGGCCGGUCAAAGGCCCCCGGAAUGUGUCACCCUUCGGGGUGUCUUAUAGCCGGGGGUGCAAUGCGGCCAGUCGGGACCGAGGAACGCGCUUCGGCACGGACGCUGGCUUAAUGGUCGUAAGCGACC
Molecule: ribosomal RNA, 636 nt
Filed under: [Emmonsia] crescens
Lineage: Eukaryota; Fungi; Ascomycota; Eurotiomycetes; Onygenales; Ajellomycetaceae
Description: eukaryotic LSU rRNA
Rfam family: Eukaryotic large subunit ribosomal RNA
Source: RNAcentral